Molecule: ribosomal RNA, 253 nt
Filed under: uncultured bacterium
Lineage: Bacteria
Description: partial 16S ribosomal RNA
Rfam family: Bacterial small subunit ribosomal RNA
Source: RNAcentral
GACGAACCGAGCGAACGUUGUUCGGAAUCACUGGGCUUAAAGGGCGCGUAGGCGGGCUGUCAAGUCUGGGGUGAAAUCCCACGGCUCAACCGUGGGACUGCCUUAGAUACUGACGGCCUCAAGGGAGAUAGGGGCGAGCGGAACUGUGAGUGGAGCGGUGAAAUGCGUUGAUAUUCACAGGAACUCCGGUGGCGAAGGCGGCUCGCUGGAUCUUUUCUGACGCUGAGGCGCGAAAGCUAGGGGAGCAAACGGG